AAAAGGUGCAAUGGAUGCUUGACACUCUGCCCUUGGAACAUCAUCCUUUUUAUGGACAAGAUGUAAAUUCAUCUUCCCUUGGAUGGGCUAUGUCAGCUUCCUCUUCCCGUGCAUUCCGUUUGCACGGUGAAAUCCCAAUGCUGUUGCCUCUUAUUGAUAUGUGCAACCAUAGUUUUGACCCAAAUGCUAGGAUUGUCCAGGAAGGAAAUGUAAACAGCUCAGACAUGUCAGUUAAGGCAAGUAACCUGUGAUAUUCUUCCAUUUCUGAAUUUUUGAUCUUAUACACCUGAAAAUCUUGUUCCAGAAUCAAGCUAUUCUUUUCUUCCUUCACAUAUCUGCUUUGCAAACGGUGAUGAUAUUACUGGAUAUCGUAUAUGAUAAAGUCUGUCUUUCAUAAAAUUCCUGCUUUGAUCUCUACUUGUCCUGAUACACUCAUUACUGACAUAACUGUGUGCCAGUUGUAGCAUUUGUGCGUCAGAUGCAUUCUUCACUACCUGUAUUCAGUUACAAUUUUCUAUGUUGGCAUUGACCUGUAAGACCUGAUACUUGAAUCGACUGUGCCAUUUCUACACUCUGUUCGUCUAGUAAGCAAUAAUUAAUGAAAACUAUUUCCACUCCUGGGCCUAUAUGUGCUUAAUGUUCUUGAUUACUGGUUUGCACAGAUUUGACAUGUUGAAGUUCAUUUAAUCAACUGAUUUCCUCGUUACAUGUCAUUUAGAGUCUAUAAUUUCCUUGCUUACAGAAGAUGCAAAUAAAUCCAUCACUAUCUUUAUGUUAUGCUGUAUGCACAGGUUGUUGCUGAGACGAAGAUUGAGAAAAAUGCUGCAAUAACACUGAAUUAUGGUUGCCAUCCCAAUGAUUUCUUUCUUCUUGAUUAUGGAUUUGUGAUAGCACCGAACCCUUAC
This 905-nucleotide long non-coding RNA is filed under the name Setaria italica (foxtail millet). RNAcentral describes it as "long non-coding RNA (SITA_LNC000686)". Lineage: Eukaryota; Viridiplantae; Streptophyta; Magnoliopsida; Poales; Poaceae. The record is from RNAcentral.